RNAcentral lists this ribosomal RNA (470 nucleotides) under Salmonella enterica subsp. enterica serovar Typhi. RNAcentral describes it as "bacterial SSU rRNA". It matches the Rfam family "Bacterial small subunit ribosomal RNA", at positions 1064 to 1533 of the family's 1533-position model. The record is from RNAcentral. Lineage: Bacteria; Pseudomonadati; Pseudomonadota; Gammaproteobacteria; Enterobacterales; Enterobacteriaceae.
GUCGUGAGAUGUUGGGUUAAGUCCCGCAACGAGCGCAACCCUUAAACUUAGUUGCCAGCAUUUAGUUGGGCACUCUAGGUUGACUGCCGGUGACAAACCGGAGGAAGGUGGGGAUGACGUCAAAUCAUCAUGCCCCUUAUGAUUUGGGCUACACACGUGCUACAAUGGACAAUACAAAGGGCAGCUAAACCGCGAGGUCAUGCAAAUCCCAUAAAGUUGUUCUCAGUUCGGAUUGUAGUCUGCAACUCGACUACAUGAAGCUGGAAUCGCUAGUAAUCGUAGAUCAGCAUGCUACGGUGAAUACGUUCCCGGGUCUUGUACACACCGCCCGUCACACCACGAGAGUUUGUAACACCCGAAGCCGGUGGAGUAACCAUUUAUGGAGCUAGCCGUCGAAGGUGGGACAAAUGAUUGGGGUGAAGUCGUAACAAGGUAGCCGUAUCGGAAGGUGCGGCUGGAUCACCUCCUUU